GUUUAUAAUAUGUUUUUAUUAGUUUCGUAUGUCUGUUUGUAUAUAAAGGAAUCUAUGAACGUCAUUUUCAACGCCUUCAAGUCAUUCGCCUAUGGAUUAAAAAAUAAAUAAUAGUUUAAAAAAACUAACCCUUCUACUCAUAUCUGUUCAUAAAAUAUUUAUAACUACUGAUACCAUGCACCCCACGUUUUUUUUACCAUAAAAUCAUUUUUUCUUAUACUAUUUUUAAUUCAAAUUUAUUAAAAUUUAUUUUCUAUUUUUUAGUUGUAUUUUCUAUAAAAGCGUAUUUUGUUAGUUUUUUUUUAAACUAUUAUUAAUUUUUCAUUUUUUAGUUGAAUUUCAAUUUUUUCAAUUUUUUUUUUAUUAUUGUAUUAUCAUCGGUCGUUAGUAAGUAUACCAAAUUUCGAGUUAAUCCGACGUUUUGAAGGGGGUCAAAAUCAUGUUCAAAGAUUCCGUUACAAACAUACAUACGUCUGAAGCUAAUAAUAAAAGCGUAUUAAAAAAUUAUGACAUUGAUAAUUUUAUAGCUUCGCUCUAUUUUCUUGACCAGUAUCAACAGGAUAAACAAAAAUGAAAUUAAUAUUCAUUUAGUUGCUAUUUAAGUGCACUUUUUAGUUUUUAAGCUACAUAUAAUAUUAUUAUUUUCCAUGUAUGGUGUUAGUGACAAUUCAAUUAACAAAUAUUAUAUGAUUAUAAUAUAACAUAAUAAUAAUAUUAUUGUAUAGGCUAAUAAGUAUGUGUGUUUGACUGAUUCAAAUAUAAAUCGCACAUUUACCUUGAAACAAAAAUAAAAGGAAAAUAAAUCCGUUAUAUCAAUCAAAAUGAUUCAAUUUCAAAUGACUUAGAGUUUGAAUGAAUCUGAGUUAAACUACGAGUAUUUAAUGAACAAAAUAACAAUUCAUAAGUCUCGGUCACAAUUACCUACGAGUGAGUCAGACAUAAACCACGACGAAGUAUAAUGGUAUUUUGCGAUAGACAAAAGCCUAUUGUACAUUAGUACUAAUACAAGGGGAACAGCAAUCAUCGCUAAACACCAUUAGGUAACAAUGAAACGAGUUUUCAGUAAGAUUUAAACACCAUUUUACUCUUAUCGGUGUUAUCUCCGCGAGGAGUAUGGCGCCGUAACGUCACGAUUUCAAAACGAUCGCACUUUCGACGUUGGAUUCCCUUGCGUGCCUAUCUAAUAAUCCGAAAGAAGGUCGUUGAGACGAGAUAAUAGGGCUUACUCCGACGACGACAACAAGAAAUACAUAGAUAAAAUCAUAACACGCGCGCGAAAUUGCCAUAGUAUUUUAUUGGCUUGUUUUCUAUUGCCGCUGCUGGUUGAGUGACGUCACAAAACGCCAACAACGUAUUUUUAAUGCCAGUGACAGUUAAAACAAAUUUACAAUCCAUCACAGUUCCCACAGAUCGUUCUCGUUGCACAUGCAAGUGUUACCGUCCAAUAAAAAAAGUCCGUGUCGUCGACCCCAGAGUGCGUCAUCAAACGACAAAGACCGUCAUUUCCUUCGUCACGUAUAAACACGGAGAGCAGAUGACGAUCAAUUAAAAAGUUUGUUCGCAUUAACUAUGCGGGAAUUAGUUAGCAGUACGGCCUGCGUGCCAGAUGGACCCGACGAAUUUCUUUGAGUGAAAGAUAACGCCAGAGUUUGGAACUUCACAAUAAAUGGAUAUUAAGCUGGCGUGUCUUUGAUGUUCGUCUAAUGCUUUAAUGUUAAUUCGACUGAAGGUUCCUCGUUGAAAACCUCAGAGAACCGAGAUUCUGAGUGUUUUUGAAGUUAUACGUCUUUAGGUGCGUUAUGAAAAAUUGAUGAGAGUGAAAUUUUACGAUGCGCGUGCACCGUGACACAAAAUCAACAGAAAUGAAGUUGCCCACUAAAUCGCUCAUUACAAUACGACCGACGCAACUUGGAGAGUCUGAAUAUAGCCGCAGGUGAACUUUCGCGCGUGUACACUGAUUUGUCCUAAUACCGGACUCUGGCAUGGAUUACAACAGCUUUGUCACAGUAGAGUAUAUCCCAUUAUCCCUACAAUGUUUAUUACUGAAUGCAUUUGUUGACGCAACCUAAAAUUCAAUUGUGAUGUUAUAAAUUCGAACUCAUUCUCCAUAUAAAUUCUCUAUUUAAAAUAUGUAACAAAAAAAAUACCAAAGCUUUUUGUAUUUUUCAAUUACUAAGACAAAAGCACGGUAUUGUUCGUGUACAUACCAUAAUUAAUGACAUUGAUUUAUAUAAAAUCAUUAAAUACUCAAUAAUCAGAAUUCAUUUAUUCAUGUAUAAUGUGUACUUAUUGUAUUAAGAGUGCACAAUGAUAAUCAAUUUUUCGUUUGCAAAAUAUUGAGAAAAAUGAUUGAGAAAUCGCUUUUCGAUAUAUGUAUUAUCGAAUGUAUGAUAUCUGUAUUAAACUUUAUCUCAUUUUGUUUA
This is a long non-coding RNA of Bombyx mori (domestic silkworm), 2423 nucleotides long. RefSeq lists it as uncharacterized. The record is from RefSeq and is a predicted model, not a curated record. The transcript has 2 exons. NCBI's taxonomy places the organism in Eukaryota, Metazoa, Arthropoda, Insecta, Lepidoptera, Bombycidae.